CUUUUAGAUGUCACACCAUUGUCCAUUGGUUUGGAAACACUUGGUGGUGUGAUGACAAAGAUCAUUCCAAGAAAUACAACAUUGCCUACCUCCAAAUCAGAAGUGUUCUCUACCGCUGCUGAUGGUCAGACAAGUGUAGAAAUUAAUGUCCUCCAAGGAGAGCGAGAAUUUGUUAGGGACAACAAAUCUUUAGGUAGCUUCCGGCUUGAUGGAAUUCCUCCUGCCCCAAGAGGGGUUCCACAAAUUGAAGUGAAAUUUGACAUUGAUGCCAAUGGUAUUCUUUCCGUGACUGCUAUUGACAAGGGUACUGGGAAGAAGCAAGACAUCACCAUUACAGGUGCCAGCACAUUGCCUGGUGAUGAGGUAUGAUUUUGACUUCCAAUUCUACUAGGGACUGUCUCCUUUAACAAUUCUAGCUUGGUCAACAAGUUUUGUGUUUAUAAGUUGCUGGAAUUUGCCUUUUUAAAAAAAUUUCCUUCUAUUAUUGGCUUUUAUUGCCGUUGGUUGUAUAUGGAGCAAUAUGUUUUGCGUGUCAUUCCAUUUUAGCUCCCCUUGCUGCUCAUAUGUGAUGGGAUUUCUGGUUGCAUGGAAACAGGUCGAGAGAAUGGUUAAAGAAGCUGAAAGAUUUGCCCAGGAAGACAAAGAGAAGAGAGACGCCAUAGACACAAAGAACCAGGCCGAUUCUGUUGUCUACCAGACAGAGAAGCAGUUGAAGGAACUUGGAGACAAAGUACCAGGGCCAGUGAAAGAAAAGGUUGAGGCUAAACUUGGAGAGCUUAAAGAAGCAAUCUCAGGAGGGUCAACUCAGACCAUGAAGGAUGCUAUGGCUGCCCUUAACCAAG
Molecule: long non-coding RNA, 842 nt
Filed under: Solanum melongena (eggplant)
Lineage: Eukaryota; Viridiplantae; Streptophyta; Magnoliopsida; Solanales; Solanaceae
Description: long non-coding RNA (SMEL_LNC000043)
Source: RNAcentral